CUUGACCAGCCCCCUGUUCUAAAGGCGUCUCCCUCUCUGAUAAACUCUCCUCUCCUCUCAUUCUGCCUCAUCUCUGAAAACUUUUCCAGCCCGUGCACAGACCACCACACUCCCCCAAAACACACUUCCUUCAGAGUGCAGUGACAUUCAGAUGCCAUCACAUCUGAGACCACCUGCGACCUGCCUCCAGCCUCUCAAAAGUGGACUUCUUCUUGCUUCGAGAUGCUGAGUCACAAAGAGUACUUCGGUCUGUCUGACCCCUUUGCGGACACUCACAUUGACGGGGCGGUGAACCUCGUAUUCCCUGCUGGAGCUUAGGGAGUGACCUGCCUGGAUUGAAGUCUCAGCUCUACGACCUCUGUGAGCUUGGACACGUCACAUGUCUUCUGCUGCCUUGGACAGAAACUAGAGAUAGAAAGCUCUGUAGGCAACCUUGAGCAGUUUUGUCCGUUCUGGAGACACUGGGCAGAAACAGAGGCCGAAAUGCAGUGACGCUGUUGCACAGAUCCACCCCCCAAAUCUUUGGCAUCAGGGCAAAUGGACAAACGCAGCAUUUCCAUCUUUUAAGGCACGUUCCACACACGAUCUUCCAAAAGAAUGUUCUGCUUUCCAGGAGCCAAGGAAAUAGAAGAUCAACUGUUCCAAACAGAAGCCCAGUCCUGUGGUUUUCUAGGAGGAAGGCUGAGGAGCUGAGGCCAAACUCUGUCUUAUGUAAAACUGCAAAGCUGGUGGUGGAAAUGGAGAUGAGCCUCUGGCGUGGGAGACGGUGGAGGAAAAGCAUAGGGAUGCCUUACAUCUGGUUGGAAAAAUUCUGAGACCUCAUGUUUACUGCUGGGAGAAGGUCAAAGACUGUCUACUCCUGGCUGCAAAUGGACCUGUUAAAUUUCCUGAUGUUCCUCUAAAAAUUAAAGGAGUUUGGCCUCCCUGGUGGCUAACUUGGUAAAGAAUCCACGUGCAAUGAAGGAGACCUGGGUUCAAUCCCUGCGUCCGGAAGAUCCCCUGGAGGAGGGCAUGGCAACCCACCCCAGUAUUUUUGCCUGGAGACUCCCAUGGACGGAGGAGCCUGGCGGGCUACAG
Bos taurus (domestic cattle) is the source of this 1077-nucleotide long non-coding RNA. Lineage: Eukaryota; Metazoa; Chordata; Mammalia; Artiodactyla; Bovidae. The record is from Ensembl.